This is a non-coding RNA of Triticum aestivum (bread wheat), 115 nucleotides long. The record is from Rfam. NCBI's taxonomy places the organism in Eukaryota, Viridiplantae, Streptophyta, Magnoliopsida, Poales, Poaceae.
CUACUACUGCCUUCGUCCGAAAAUACUUGUCAUUGAAAUGGAUGUAUCUAGAUUUAUUUUAGUUCUAGACACAUCCAUUUUGAUGACAAGUAAUUCCAGACGGAGGGAGUAUUAU